Molecule: ribosomal RNA, 368 nt
Filed under: uncultured organism
Description: bacterial SSU rRNA
Rfam family: Bacterial small subunit ribosomal RNA
Source: RNAcentral
CGUAGGGAGCAAGCGUUGUCCGGAUUCACUGGGUGUAAAGGGUGCGCAGGCGGGAGAGUAAGUCAGAGGUGAAAUCUCACAGCUUAACUGUGAAACUGCCUUUGAUACUGCUUUUCUUGAGUUCGGGAGAGGUUGAUGGAAUUCCAGGUGUAGCGGUGAAAUGCGUAGAUAUCUGGAAGAACACCAGUGGCGAAGGCGGUCAACUGGCCCGUAACUGACGCUCAGGCACGAAAGCGUGGGUAGCGAACAGGAUUAGAUACCCUGGUAGUCCACGCCCUAAACGAUGAAUACUUGGUGUUGGUCCUUUUGGAUCAGUGCCGGAGGUAACCUGGUAAGUAUUCCACCUGGGGAGUACGCUCGCAAGGGUG